GACGAAGGAUGCAAGCGUUAUCCGGAUUCAUGGGGUUUAAGGGGUGCGUAGGCGGAUUGGAAAGUCAGGGGUGAAAUCUCCGGGCUUAACUCGGAAACUGCCAUUGAUACUGCAGAUCUUGAGUACAGAUGAUGUUGGCGGAAUAUGACAUGUAGCGGUGAAAUGCAUAGAUAUGUCAUAGAACACCGAUUGCGAAGGCAGCUGACAAAACUGUAACUGACGCUGAGGCACGAAAGUGCGGGGAUCAAACAGG
RNAcentral lists this ribosomal RNA (253 nucleotides) under uncultured bacterium. Its description in RNAcentral is "partial 16S ribosomal RNA". It matches the Rfam family "Bacterial small subunit ribosomal RNA", at positions 524 to 776 of the family's 1533-position model. The record is from RNAcentral.